This 433-nucleotide ribosomal RNA is filed under the name uncultured bacterium. RNAcentral describes it as "partial 16S ribosomal RNA". It matches the Rfam family "Bacterial small subunit ribosomal RNA", at positions 29 to 507 of the family's 1533-position model. The record is from RNAcentral.
AACGAACGCUGGCGGCAUGCCUAACACAUGCGAGUCGAACGAGACCUUCGGGGCUAGUGGCGCACGGGUGCGUACCGCGUGGGAACCUGCCCUUAGGUUCGGAAUCACUCCCCGAAAGGGGUGCUAAUACCGGAUAAUGUCUUCGGACCAAAGAUUUAUCGCCUUUGGAUGGGCCCGCGUUGGAUUAGCUAGUUGGUAGGGUAAAAGCCUACCAAGGCGACGAUCCAUAGCUGGUCUGAGAGGAUGAUCAGCCACACUGGGACUGAGACACGGCCCAGACUCCUACGGGAGGCAGCAGUGGGGAAUAUUGGACAAUGGGCGAAACCCUGAUCCAGCAAUGCCGCGUGAGUGAUGAAGGCCUUAGGGUUGUAAAGCUCUUUUACCCGGGAUGAUAAUGACAGUACCGGGAGAAUAAGCGCCGGCUAACUCCGUG